CUGCGAAAGCCGGAUUAAUACCGCAUACGAUCUACGGAUGAAAGCGGGGGACCUUCGGGCCUCGCGCUAUAGGGUUGGCCGAUGGCUGAUUAGCUAGUUGGUGGGGUAAAGGCCUACCAAGGCGACGAUCAGUAGCUGGUCUGAGAGGACGACCAGCCACACUGGGACUGAGACACGGCCCAGACUCCUACGGGAGGCAGCAGUGGGGAAUUUUGGACAAUGGGCGAAAGCCUGAUCCAGCAAUGCCGCGUGUGUGAAGAAGGCCUUCGGGUUGUAAAGCACUUUUGUCCGGAAAGAAAUCCUUGGUUCUAAUAUAGCCGGGGGAUGACGGUACCGGAAGAAUAAGCACCGGCUAACUACGUGCCAGCAGCCGCGGUAAUACGUAGGGUGCGAGCGUUAAUCGGAAUUACUGGGCGUAAGCGUGCGCAGGCGGUUUGCUAAGACCGAUGUGAAAUCCCCGGGCUCAACCUGGGAACUGCAUUGGUGACUGGCAAGCUAGAGUAUGGCA
This 508-nucleotide ribosomal RNA is filed under the name uncultured Burkholderia sp. RNAcentral describes it as "bacterial SSU rRNA". It matches the Rfam family "Bacterial small subunit ribosomal RNA", at positions 149 to 653 of the family's 1533-position model. The record is from RNAcentral. Lineage: Bacteria; Pseudomonadati; Pseudomonadota; Betaproteobacteria; Burkholderiales; Burkholderiaceae.